This 597-nucleotide small RNA is filed under the name uncultured Clostridium sp. The record is from RNAcentral. Lineage: Bacteria; Bacillati; Bacillota; Clostridia; Eubacteriales; Clostridiaceae.
GAUUAAAAAGGUGGUGCAGUAUUCUAGUCAGGUAAGUAGUUUUGAGGACGGGGCUAAAAAUCCGUUGAAGGGCACAUCGAUGAAGUUCCUUGUGCUGGCCUGUAACGCCCAGUUGUGGGCUUGUGCUGGGAGUAAGGUUGUGGGGCAGCCGCAAAGGCAUGCGAAACUGACCCUACUACCGUGGAGACCAUUGUACGUGCUCUGGGAGAAAUACCCAAAGUACGGCAUUGGAUUAAACCUGCAUCGUGGUUAAUAAGCUAUGUGCAGAGUAGCCUGCCUUGAGUGAGGUGGGUAGAGGUGAGACCAAAUCUCAAUGUCCCGGCCAGGAUAUUGGGGCUAUUGCUCACUGAAACCCAUGUUGCAAAAGAGGAUAAGAAGCUACCUAACUGCCGAGGAAAUCUCCUAGACUGUUCCUGCGGAGGCAUAUUGGGGAUUGCAGUGUGGACUAAGUGGUAAUUCAGCCCUGUAGAUGGAAACACUACAGAUAGAGCAUUAAAGGGAAACCGUCACAACGGCGACGUAGUGGUUGCUUUAUGGGAAAUCCUGCUGGACCUAAGCCGCAAAUUUUACUUAAUAUGCUACCACCUUGUUAUCAUU